ACGGAAGGCAGCAGUGGGGAAUAUUGCACAAUGGGGGAAACCCUGAUGCAGCGACGCCGCGUGAGUGAAGAAGUAUUUCGGUAUGUAAAGCUCUAUCAGCAGGAAAGAAAAUGACGGUACCUGACUAAGAAGCCCCGGCUAACUACGUGCCAGCAGCCGCGGUAGUACGUAGGGGGCAAGCGUUAUCCGGAUUUACUGGGUGUAAAGGGAGCGUAGACGGCUUUGCAAGUCUGAAGUGAAAGCCCGGGGCUCAACCCCGGAACUGCUUUGGAAACUGUAGAGCUAGAGUGCAGGAGAGGUAAGUGGAAUUCCUAGUGUAGCGGUGAAAUGCGUAGAUAUUAGGAGGAACACCAGUGGCGAAGGCGGCUUACUGGACUGUAACUGACGUUGAGGCUCGAAGGCGUGGGGAGCAAACAGGAUUAGAUACCCUGGUA
RNAcentral lists this ribosomal RNA (434 nucleotides) under uncultured Lachnospiraceae bacterium. RNAcentral's name for it is "partial 16S ribosomal RNA". It matches the Rfam family "Bacterial small subunit ribosomal RNA", at positions 341 to 792 of the family's 1533-position model. The record is from RNAcentral. Lineage: Bacteria; Bacillati; Bacillota; Clostridia; Lachnospirales; Lachnospiraceae.